This 119-nucleotide non-coding RNA is filed under the name Rhinolophus ferrumequinum (greater horseshoe bat). Lineage: Eukaryota; Metazoa; Chordata; Mammalia; Chiroptera; Rhinolophidae. The record is from RNAcentral.
GUGUUGUAUGAGAGGGGAGAAGGUUAGCAUUCCCCUUGACAAGGAUGGAAGAGGCCCUUGGGCCCUAACACACAUACGGUCAAGGCAUUGCCACCUACUUUGAGGAAUCUAACCAUCGU